RNAcentral lists this ribosomal RNA (253 nucleotides) under uncultured bacterium. Its description in RNAcentral is "partial 16S ribosomal RNA". It matches the Rfam family "Bacterial small subunit ribosomal RNA", at positions 524 to 776 of the family's 1533-position model. The record is from RNAcentral.
UACGGAGGGUGCAAGCGUUGUUCGGAAUCACUGGGCGUAAAGCGCGUGUAGGCGGCUAUCUAAGUCUGAUGUGAAAGCCCUGGGCUCAACUCAGGAAGUGCAUUGGAUACUGGAUAGCUGGAGUACCGGAGAGGAGGGUGGAAUUCCUGGUGUAGCGGUGAAAUGCGUAGAUAUCAGGAGGAACACCGAUGGCGAAGGCAGCUCGCUGGGACGGUACUGACGCUGAGGCGCGAAAGCGUGGGGAGCGAACAGG